This 264-nucleotide ribosomal RNA is filed under the name uncultured bacterium. RNAcentral describes it as "partial 16S ribosomal RNA". It matches the Rfam family "Bacterial small subunit ribosomal RNA", at positions 793 to 1055 of the family's 1533-position model. The record is from RNAcentral.
GUCCACGCCUUAAACGAUGGAUACUAGUUGUCGGAAUUUCUAAUAGUUUCGGUAACGCAGCUAACGCAUUAAGUAUCCCGCCUGGGGAGUACGGUCGCAAGAUUAAAACUCAAAGGAAUUGACGGGGGCCCGCACAAGCGGUGGAGCAUGUGGUUCAAUUCGAUGCUACGCGAAAAACCUUACCUAGGCUUGACAUCCCGUGCUAUCCGGCGAAAGUCGGAGUUCUCUUCGGAGACGCGGAGACAGGUGCUGCAUGGCUGUCGU